GAUUCGAUGGUACUCAAGAGGAAGCCACGGCUAACUCUGUGCCAGCAGCCGCGGUAAUACAGAGGUGGCGAGCGUUGUUCGGAUUUACUGGGCGUAAAGGGUGCGUAGGUGGUCAUGUAUGUCGGGUGUGAAAGCCCACGGCUCAACCGUGGAAUGGCACUCGAAACUGCAUGACUAGAGUACAGGAGGGGAGAGCGGAAUUCUUGGUGUAGCGGUGAAAUGCGUUGAUAUCAAGAAGAACACCGGUGGCGAAGGCGGCUCUCUGGAAUGUUACUGACACUGAUGCACGAAAGCUGGGGGAGCAAACAGGAUUAGAUACCCUGGUAGUCCCAGCCGUAAACGGUGCACACUUGGUGUGGGGGGAUUUGACCCCCUCCGUGCCGGAGCUAACGCGUUAAGUGUGCCGCCUGGGGAGUACGGUCGCAAGGCUAAAACUCAAAGAAAUUGACGGGGGCCCGCACAAGCGGAGGAGCAUGUGGCUUAAUUCGAUGCAACGCGAAGAACCUUACCAGGGCUUGACAUAUACCUGCACGCCUCGUGAAAGCGAGGAAGCCUUCGAGGGUGGUAUACAGGUGCUGCAUGGCUGUCGUCAGUUCGUGCUGUGAGGUGUUGGGUUAAGUCCCGCAACGAACGCAACCCCUGUGGUUAGUUGCCACCGCCGGUGAUGAGCCGGCGAGCACUCUAGCCAGACUGCCCGUACAAGCGGGAGGAAGGUGGGGACGACGUCAAGUCAGUAUGGCCCUUACGCCCUGGGCUGCACACGUGCUACAAUGGUCGGUACAGAGGGACGCAAUAUCGCGAGAUGGAGCAAAUCCCCAAAGCCGGCCCCAGUUCGGAUUGGAGUCUGAAACUCGACUCCAUGAAGUUGGAUUCGCUAGUAACGGCGUAUCAGCUACGACGCCGUGAAUACGUUCCCGGGCCUUGUACACACCGCCCGUCACAUCAUGAAAGCCGUCUGCACCCG
RNAcentral lists this ribosomal RNA (964 nucleotides) under uncultured Lentisphaerota bacterium. RNAcentral's name for it is "bacterial SSU rRNA". It matches the Rfam family "Bacterial small subunit ribosomal RNA", at positions 466 to 1423 of the family's 1533-position model. Lineage: Bacteria; Pseudomonadati; Lentisphaerota. The record is from RNAcentral.